GCUGGGCAUGGUGGCUCAUGCCUGUAAUCCCACCACUUUAGGAAGCCGAGGUGGAGGGAUCACCUGAGGCCAGGAGUUUGAGACCAACCUGGCCAACAUGGUGAAACCCCAUCUCUA
Molecule: unclassified non-coding RNA, 117 nt
Organism: Papio anubis (olive baboon)
Lineage: Eukaryota; Metazoa; Chordata; Mammalia; Primates; Cercopithecidae
Rfam family: Metazoan signal recognition particle RNA
About the family: The signal recognition particle (SRP) is a universally conserved ribonucleoprotein.
Source: Ensembl